GGGGUUGUAGCUCAGUGGUAGAGCACUUGCCUCACAAGAGUGAGGCACUGGGUUCAAUCCUCAGCACCA
Molecule: non-coding RNA, 69 nt
Organism: Ictidomys tridecemlineatus (thirteen-lined ground squirrel)
Lineage: Eukaryota; Metazoa; Chordata; Mammalia; Rodentia; Sciuridae
Source: Rfam